This 411-nucleotide ribosomal RNA is filed under the name uncultured bacterium. Its description in RNAcentral is "bacterial SSU rRNA". It matches the Rfam family "Bacterial small subunit ribosomal RNA", at positions 505 to 916 of the family's 1533-position model. The record is from RNAcentral.
GUGUCAGCCGCCGCGGUAAUACGUAGGGGGCGAGCGUUGUCCGGAAUUACUGGGCGUAAAGGGUGCGUAGGCGGCCCUUUAAGUCGGAUGUGAAAGCCCGCGGCUUAACCGCGGAAUGGCAUUCGAAACUGGAGGGCUUGAGUGUCGGAGAGGGUAGUGGAAUUCCCAGUGUAGCGGUGAAAUGCGUAGAUAUUGGGAGGAACACCAGUGGCGAAGGCGGCUUUCUGGACUGUCCCUGACGCUGAGGCGCGAAAGCCAGGGGAGCGAACGGGAUUAGAUACCCUGGUAGUCCUAGCCGUAAACGAUGGGUACUAGGUGUAGGGGUUUCGAUACCUCUGUGCCGCAGUUAACGCAAUAAGUACCCCGCCUGGGGAGUACGGUCGCAAGACUGAAACUUAAAUAAAUUGACGG